GACGGAGGGUGCAAGCGUUGUCCGGAAUCACUGGGCGUAAAGGGCGCGUAGGCGGUCCGCUAAGUCUGAUGUGAAAGCCCGGGGCUCACCCCCGGAAGGGCAUUGGAAACUGGCGGACUCGAGUCUCGGAGAGGAAGGUGGAAUUCCUGGUGUAGCGGUGAAAUGCGUAGAUAUCAGGAGGAAUACCGGUGGCGAAGGCGGCCGUCUGGACGAUGACUGACGCUGAGACGCGAAAGCGUGGGGAGCGAACAGG
Molecule: ribosomal RNA, 253 nt
Filed under: uncultured bacterium
Lineage: Bacteria
Description: partial 16S ribosomal RNA
Rfam family: Bacterial small subunit ribosomal RNA
Source: RNAcentral